ACAUGGACACAGCUCAGACAUCCCGUGACACACAACUGGAUAUGUAAAAGGGUCUCUGAAUGGUGGAGUGUCACUCAGCCUGUCAAGGGCAUCUGGAAGGUUCUACAGCAUGGGGGAACCGGCCAAAGCCUGGGAAGGAACCCAUCAUAUCCCAAGGAGAUCUGACACAGGGAAAGGGUUGUGCCACAGCUCACAAGAACCCAAAAGGAUGGAAAGAAAAACGCUGCUCAACCUCACUCUGCGAGCUCCCCAGAGUUAUUAGAGUCAUAGAGACAGGAGACUGGAGGGGUCACUGUGUGAUGGAAGCAGUUUGGAAGAUGGAUUCUGAGAGCAGAGGGGAAAUGGGGCGUGUCUCCACGCUGCCAAUGUGCUUAGCAUUGUCAAGCCAUAUACUUUCAGGUGAUGAAAAUGGUUGUUUAGUUUUGUCUGUUGGUCACAAAAAAGAGGUGAGAGGAGAAGGGAGGAGAGGAAGAGGGAGAGGAUGCAGGAAAAGGAGGAGGAGGAUGAAGGGGAAGAGGAGGAGGAAAGAGGAGAGAGAAGGAGACGAGGAUGAAAGUGAGGGAUAGAGAGAGGAGGAAAGGGAAGGAGGAGGGAGGAGAGAAGAGAAAGGAGAAGAGAGAGAGGAAGAAGAGCUGGGGAUAGGAGGAGGGAGAAAAGAGACAGGGAGAAGAGGAGGGAUCUCCCCAAGGGCUCCUGACAAUGGGGUUUUCCAGAAAGGCCCAAACCCAAGCCCCCAGCACCCCUUGGCUGGCCCUGGCCUGUGGCAGAGGACCACUGCUACCAUUCAAGUCAUCCACAUUCCAAGCAUAGUUCUCACGCUCAUCAAUGUCCCCUACUCUCCCAGCUCCAUCUCAGAGGCAGGAGCUCAAGAAGCCCCACUUACCACAUCUUCCAUCACCUUAAAAACCCUCCCCCAAGAACAAGGAAGGGCACAAUGCACCCACUGUGUGCAGACAGGUGUUCAGGGGCCACAGAUCCAUUUCACUGAAGCUUUCUAGUGCAGGACCGCCACCAACCCACACUCUCACAUACGGUGCAGAAAUGGCAGCACAAUCAGACCCAGCAAGACAGACCCCACAUCCUUCCUGUGUAGCCCCUUUCCAGACAAUUUUCAAGCAUUUUGAAACGUUCUUGAACUUUGAUGAUUUGGACAAUGCAAGCAAAUCUAUUAAGGGGCAUUGCAUGUGCUGUCACGGAGAGAGGCUGGUCCUCGAGUGACAAGUUGUCUUCCCACAGGACCUCAGAGGAUGAGCCCAGCACUCCCUCUCCAGUAGGAUGGAUGGCCCUUCAGGUAUCUGAAGGUUCUCCUUCCCUAGGCUCACUCCAGCAUUCCCAAGCCUUUCAGUAUUUCAUAUGCCAGGACUAGGAGCUCUCAUGAUAUCCUGCAAAUUACAUCCCUGCCCUCAAAAAAAUAUUUACAACCUACAGAUGAAUUAAGAUUGAAAAACGGAACAAGUCAGGCAUGGGGUGCCCACCUGCGACCCCAGCACUUAGGAGACAGAUGUGAGGUGAAGGCUAACCUAGGGUACACAAGGAGACUCUGUCUAGAAAACAAAACAAUGCUCCCCAAGCAGAAAAGAGAAAAGGCUGCAGACAUCCCGACCUAGGGUACACUGUACUUCACUGUUCAAUGCUUGGGUUUAGAACAGAAAGAGGACAGCCGAGGCUUGAUGCAUAGGGAAGAGCCAAGCCACAGUAGCUCUGAGGACACUCCAGGUGUGGCCCCUCCCUCCUGGUCUUCCUACUCUUGGGUGGGUGCCUACAGAGACCCCAGAAGCUGCAUCACGGCCUCUUCAAGUUGAUCUGGGUCCUGGUAACUGGAUGGGGUGGGUCCUGCCCCACUCUCAUUUCCCUUCAUUUUUCUAUAUUAGGGAUGAGGUGAUCUAUUUUUAGUGUGUGGCUGGUUAAGUCAGGGGUUGCUAUAGUGACGGCGAGUGACUACAAACCCAGAGCUGCUCAGAUUCCCAGUUGCAGAGAAAUCCCAACACAGAGUCCUGACAGGAAUGCAAUCUUGGAGAAUGGAGUGGCCCUGCCCAUGGGGGGUCCCUGCCUACUGUCUACAUGCCAUGGGAAGGCUGAGCCUGAGUCUUACUAGCAGGAAGUGAAUCUGGACUGGGGACUGAGAGAAGAACCAGAGAGCUGAUUGGAGAUGGAAUGCCAAAGCUCAGUCACAGCAAAUGAAGACCAAACACAGAAAUCCACAACUGGACACCAAAAGGCAGAGAUGACUGGACUGUGGAGGCAUGCAUGGACACAGUCACGUGUGUUCUCACUGUUGCUAUCGGUUUACAGUUCCGGCUACAAAUCUGCACUCAGCAACAAGAAAGCUUAGAAAGCAUCGAAGACCACAACCCUGGGAUAGUUCACCCUUCCAGCUUGUACCAUCAUUUUACCUUGAAUGUUACUUUUCUCUCUAGCUUGACUGACAGUGCUGUGCUCAGGGAUCCCCUCCCAUAAGAGAGACAGAACAAGCACAUGCUGAUGGAGUCCUUGCAGAUGGCUCCUCAGCAGUGAAGUGGGCCAGGGAAGCAGGUGGAGCUUCUUGGGAACAGCACGGCCUGUCCCUGGAGCACGCCUAGGCUGAAUGUCCCGGAGCCCAGGGAGGGACCCUGAGAACCCUCUGACCUUUGUAGUCAAGCUCUGCUCUGCACCGCCACAGGAUGCCCACAGGCCUAGGUCUUCUGAACGCGAAUGUGCAGGUUUUAUAGGUGUUGUGGAUGCCAUCAGGUCCGUUUCAGCAAAAACCGUUAAAAGCCAGAUUGUUCAAUAGAGUGCGGUGCUGGGGCAGGAGAGGUCACAGUCACAGACGGGCAGUCAAAGGAGCUGUAGGCAGGCGAGGGACUCAGUACUGCACUCCAGUGAAUAUCCGAGGGGUGUUCUCAUGCUCUGGGGACAGCACACACUAUAGGCCACACCUCCGCACUGUGGAAUAGUGAGCGCACUGUUGUAGUCCCGAGAGCUCCCUGGUGAUCCUGUAACCUAAACCAUGCAAGUAACCUACUUAAUCCUUGGAGGGCUCCUGAUGGUGACUGGCUAUGUCCCCACACAUGGGAGACACGCUAAGACAUAGAGACAUCUGCUGUACCGUAAGCUGGGAACAUUUAGACUUGAGGCUGGGGACUAUCCAGAACUGGCCAAUGUGGCUCUUAGUCUCUGCUGUGGAUACCACAGUGGCUACCCACCCUCCCUCCACCUGGACCCGCAAGGACCCCUCCACACGACUGAGUAGAGGAUGGGACUCUGAGCGCUUUAGUCUCAUCCGAUGACGACAUGGUUAGGGACAGUUUCGUUCUCUUGCUACCUGGAAGUCCAUUUCAGAAAAGCCCUCAAACCCUCAUGACCACUGAAGCUACUCUGGAUGUCCUGAUAAAUUUUACUAAAAUUGUCACACGGACCUAGAGGGGAGAAAAGCAGCUGAGACUCAGGGUGCAGCAGGGGCGCCUUGUUCCAUUUAUGAGAAGGGGGUCUCUCAUGCUAGUGCAGAGCUGCUGAGGCCUGAAAUCCACGGGCUCCAGGGCCGGUCUCCCCACCCGGAGGUCACAGGCUGCCUGGUAAGCGUGUUCACACAUUCUAUGUGGAGAGACUUCCCCAAAGCACUUUCCUGUGUUUUCAACAUGCUGGGAGGAGGCGGCUAGCCGCUGUUGUUCAGUUAGGGAUAGUCAGGGACAGAAGUUCACAGCAGCCUUCAGGACUCCAGAGUGGCCUGGAAGAGAGCUGGGAUCUUUGGCCCACUCCACAGCUUCCUUAUCCAGGGACAAUUAGGACCCAGCAGCUGCUUCUCUGUUGCCGGGAUGUAGGAAAAGUAACUGAGGACACACCAACAAAACCUGGUUGUGACCCUCACAGGGCCUGACGAGCACCCAGGUCCUUGAGAGGCUGCUGCCAAUCCAAAGCUUGGGGUGUGAGGUGCAGAUCCCUCUGGAGCAGGGAGCUGUGUAUACACUGGCUAGAGCACUCGACGCUUGCAAAACAGCGGGUCAUAUUUCACGGAGAGCUCUGAAGGUUGUGUCGCACUGAGUUCUCAGUGAACUCGCCCUUGGGGCCUCCCUUAUGCCUUCUUCACGGACUGACUGCGUUUGAGUCACACCUCUGAGGCAUGGCCCUCCCCACCUGACGCAGGCAACCAUGUGGCUCCGAGUCACCCCAGCACACUCAGGGUCACACCUCACCUCGCGGCGCCUGGGGGAACCGGAGUUGGGAGGAUCUGAGUGACAAGAGAGUGUUUAUUUUGGCAAAGACAAACUCAGUUCACCCAGGUCAGCUCGCACCGAUGGCAUCUAAGCCCACUGAGACUCCAAAGCGGCCACACACAAGCCUGCAGUUAAAGACACAGAGAGGUGCUGCGUGCUUGUUAUGCAAGCAUGGGAGCCUGGGUUAGGAUCCCCAGAAGUCACAGAAAAAGCCAGGUGUGGCUGUGCAUGCCUACAGCCCCAGCAUCCAAGAGGGCAGAGAUAGGAGGAUUGCUGGGGUUUGCUGGCUGCCAGUCUAGCUGAACCAACACCAAGCCCCAGCCAGGUUCAGUGAGACAUACUGUCUCAAGGGAAUAAAGCAGAUAGGGACAGAUAGAGUACAUGUGCACGCACACACACACACACACACACACACACACACACACACACACACAGAAGUGAAAACCUACGGCAAUAAUGAUUUUCAGCUACAAUGUUAGAGCCAGGAAGUACGAAAUCUGUAGAUCUCCGAGUCUUGAAGGGGCUACAUGUGCCCAUGCAGGGCUCUCAGGGGCCUUCUUUAGUUCUUUCUGUGGUUCCUGUAUUCUGGAGUUGACAGGUAUCCACUCAUCAAGAUCUCUGUAAAAGUACAUCAGGCCUAGGGCUCCAAAGGUCCACAGACCAGCGGGAAGGACAAAGAUCAGCUGCUUUGUGGCCCAGAGGACAGAUCCUGGGCUCAGAGGGCCCUGGAGCGGUAGAUCUAAAGGCCACACAUCAGAUAUUCUGAUUAAAGCAACAAAGUAAGCUAGGAAUGCGCCCCAGCUGUGGCAGGGGAAGAAGACCUCUGUGCUCCCAGACUCGGCCAAAAGCCAGCAUCUGGCUGGCCUAACCUCGCCUGCCAGGAACCUGAGCAGGGAUGCCAUUUUCUGGGAUCUGGGGUUCCUUUGAAGGACCCCAACUGCUCCUGCACUCAUUCAUUCGGAAAUUCAAUGAACAGGAGUUCAGAAUGUGAGGUCUGAACCGAUGGCUGCCUUUGGUUUCUUCUCAAAGUGAAAUAAGUGAUAAAAUGAGGUGGUAGACAGAAAGGUUUGCCCUUCUCAGGUCAAUUGCAACCCCUGAGAGAAAUCUGGGUCCACUCACAGGCCUGCAAUCUUGAGCAAUUUCAAGGGUUCUUCAACAAUUCUCCUGUAACACAGAUGGCUACACAGCAGGCCUGGCUCAUUCGGAGACCUUACAAGGAUGAGAAGAGAUGAUAGGCCAGAGACGUCCCGUGAGCUGCACAGCAUCAACCACCGAUGCCAUGGCAACGCCGUCCCCACUGCCUGGGCCUCCCCUUCACUGGUGUCACCUGCCCUGCCGUCUCCAUCUCAGGCUCACACUUCUGAGAACAAACUGCGAUCCCUGGUACCCACCUCCUUCAUCCUGCCCUUUCCUCCAUUCCAACAGGUGCCAGGGUCUACAGGAGCAAGCACACAGGAGCAGCACAUUAAGGUAGUUCUGGUCAUCGUCAAAACCAGACUUUUUUUUGUGCAUCAAAGGAUUUCAUCAAAAGAGUGAAGAUGACUCACAGAGAAAAUAUUUGCAAGUCAUUUAUCUGCAAAAUACCCCGUGUCCAGAAUUCCUAUGAACCAGUAACAAAAAGAUGACACAAUUGAAAACACGCAGGAGGGAUUGUAGAAAUUAAGAGCGCUAGCUGCUCUUUCAGGCGACCCAGGUUCAGUUCCCAGCACCCACAUCAGGUGGCUCACAACCCCCUAUAACUCCAGCUUUGGGGAAUCCAAGGCCCUCUUCUGGCCUUUGCAGGCACUCGCAUGCAUGUGGUGCACAUAAACAUUCUCUCUCUCUCUCUCUCUCUCUCUCUCUCUCUCUCUCUCUCUCUCUCUCUCUCUCUCUCAAUGAAUCUUGAAUGAAAAAAACAAAUGAGCAGGAGGCCCCAUCAGACACUUCUCCAAAGAUUAAAUAACAAGGCCACACACACGUUUGAGAAAAUCUCAUGCCAAGUGGAUUGAUCUUGCCAGGUUCUGGGAGUGGAGGGAUGGUAAGUGCUGGGUGAUGGGGACAAGGUUCUGUUUGGGGUAAUUGCUAAUUUGGAUCAUAAAUGUUCCCUAGGGGGUUAUGUGCUACUGGCUUGGUGCCCAGUGUGUGGCACCACUGGGAAGUGGGUCUAAGAGAAGAAAGGUCACUGGUUGUGUACCCUUGAAGGGAAUAUUGAGAGUCCAGCUCUUCUCUGCCUCCUCAACACCAUGAGGUGAGACACCUCCACUGCCACAGUCCCACGACAUCCUCUCCAGAAACUGUCCGGUCCUUUCUCAACAACUUCAACAUAAAGUCAUGACGUAAGUCACCACAGGCUGACACCUCUGCAUCGUCACAGGCAGUCACAGACAGACACCUCUACAUCAUCAACCAAACGAAGCCUUUCUCCUCAGGUACCUACCUCCAGUGCUUUGUCACGGAGACAGCUAGCAGUGAUGAAACAGCCCUGAGACUCGAGAGGUUCUUCCUCUGGCUAUACUUCAGGAAGGCCAGUGACACCCAUUCUCCGUCUCUCCAGAGUCGGAACCAAUGCCCAGGCACCACGGAGUCCCGUGACAGCUAACAGCAAGAGAUGCACCACUGGAGACCCACAGCGGCGCCCCAGGUCCUGACCCACUCACUGGUCAGCAUGUGGCUGCACUAGGUGAUUCCUAAUGGUGGCGGGUGGCUCGGCCCACAGGCGUAUGGAGUCCUGCCAGGAACCAUCAAACAGAGAUCUCAGACUCACUUCCAUCUCCCUUUCCGGCAACUGUGUAAGUAGGAACACAGCAGACUACCAAGAAAAGCAUGCCAGCAUGGUGCCGCUGUCACUUAACCUGGGCAACAAGGUGGAGGGGCGGCAGGGUAGAGGGCUCAAGUCCGUCCCGCCGGCUUCUUUCACAGCAGUGAAAAAUGCUAGAUAAUCCACUGCGUUCUAGCGGGGUGGGAGGGGGCACGGGUGGGCUAGAGGAAGACAUUUCUGGAAGAUGUGUCCAAAGGAAUCUCAGAGACAACAGUGGCAGCUGGGAGACUGGAAGAGUGGAAGGGUUGGGAGCGGAGGCCAGAGCAACAUUCAUUCAGCACUCUGCACGGUCACAAGAGACACCUCUGUCUUAUUUAAAAGGGGCCUACGGAGCGGGGAACACCCCAGUCAGUAGAGUGCUUUCCACGCAGGCAUGAGGACCCGCGUUCAGAGAAAGAAAGGAGGCAGGUGCAGUGGCUGGAAUUCCAGCCGGGAGACAGAGAGGAGGGUCCCUGAGAAGCCUGUUGGCCAGCCAGCCUAGUGACAAUGGUUAGCCUCAAGUUCAGUGAGAAACCCUGCCUCAAAAACAAACAGACAAACAAGCUGGGGAGUGACUGGAGUUGUUACCUGAUUUUGGCCUCUGGCCUCUGCAUGCAUGUGCAUAGAGACACAGACAGACAGACAGACAGACAGACAGACACACACACACACACACACACACACACACACACACACAUAUGCAGAAAUUAGAAGUCCAAUAAGGAGGGCAAGAAAGUUGGGAUCUCAGACAAGCUCUGCAGGGAGUGUGUGGCGCUUGGGCCACACUGGAAAGGCAGCCUCGGGGUAACCUGCUUCCUCCUGGCCCAAGUGAUGGUCCGGACAAAACGUCAAAGGAGUCCACGUUCCCAGACAGCUGAGGUUGGCUUCUGCCUGGAAGACCCAGCCAGAGUGUCGGCACUUCUCAGAACUGAUAUAAGACUUCCACGUGAAGGGCAGGGCAUGUAGAAAAGGAAGCCCAUGACCCAGAAGCGGGAGGUGUGAGGCUGAACUCUUGGAGACCACCUGGCUGGGCUGACGGUGCACAGGGCUGAUGAUCUCUAUGUCUGUGCUCAUCCUGGCUGCCACACAGAGGGGACCCUAGGGGCCUCCCAGACACUUGUGCUGGAUUUACUUCCAAGGGAAGGUGGGAUUCCUAGAGAAGACUCCCAGGUACCCUCAGAGGACAUAAAGGAGGGUCGAAACCCUGGAACUGGAGCUAUGGGUGCUUGUAAACUGCCCCCAUGGGUGCCGGAAAGUUGAACUUGGGUCCUGUGGAAGAGCAGCAAGCAAGCGUUCUUCGACACUGAGCCAUCUCUCCACCCCACUGCUGGUGUCUUCAUCAGCAACAGCUGCCUCUCUGGGCUGUCCUGUUGAUCAGUGGAUUGGACACUUGUGACAGCCUCCUCACACUGGGAGACAGCCUGUGCCUGAGAACCUCCAGCUCCUGUCACGUUCUUCCACCAACCCUGAGCUGUUGACACGUGGCUCUCAUCUAAUCCUAACCCAGUUCCACCCUGGAAGCCUCGCCUCCACCCACACUUGGGAGUUCUAAUUCAUUCUGAGCCCGUGUCUCUGCAAGAUCAUCAAAACUCCAUGGAGGGACGUCCCCCUCAGCAGCUUCCCCUACAGGCUGUACUGUGGCUGGAUAAUCAGCUUUAAACCCUCUCGGUGACUCCACCUACAGGCUGUACUGUGGCUGGAUAAUCAGCUUUCCACCCCCUCAGGAGCUUCCCCUACAGGCUGUACUGUGGACAGACAUGGGAGCACAUCUGUAACCUCAGCACUCAGGAGGCUGAGGCAGGAGGAUCAUGAGUUGCUAUGCCACAUUGUGAGACCCUGUUCAAAAGCAAAAACAAGCCCUAAAACAAGAGCAACAAAACGAGAAAACCAAGAAGAAAUCAUCAGCCUGGGUAGAAAUGAGAACCUCAGCCACACCAAGGAGACAAAACAAAGGUCAAAGAAGGUCAGCUGUAGCCGAGGCUGGCACCUGGGUGGAUGAAUUCAGUUCCUGAAUUGAUGUCUUUCUCAGAACCUCAGAUGUGCCUUGUUUUACUGCAGAAGUAAUUACUCGAGAUGGGAUUAUCUUAGAGUGGGACAGGCCCGUAAUCUCACGUGACUGGUGUCCUUUUAAGACGAGAAGAAACACGUGUAGUGGGGCUAAGGACCACAAGGCAAGGGAGAGAGCAUGUGCUCGUCACAUCCGUGCUGCCGUGACACAAGACGGCAGAAACGACGAAAACGUGGGGCAUUUUCAAAGUCUUCGGUCUGUCGUGGUGGUGAAGGCCUGUGGUGAAGAUCAUGGAGCAGGAACAGCUCGCCAAGGCUCCUCACAGCCGGGAGAGCAUUGAGAACCAGCCUGGGGCUAUCACCUUAAAAGGCAUGUCCCUAGAAACCUGCUUCUCGCCGAUAAACCCGAAGGUUCCACAGCCUCUCCGAGCUGCACCGCCAGCUGGGAAGGGAAUGCCCAGAACAUGAGCCUGUGGGAUAUUGCAGACCCAAACCGUUACAGAGACUGAGUAAGCUGACCAAGGGCCUGCGACAGAUCUUCCCCAGGGCAGAGAUGGAUUAAACAUGCUUCUCCAGCACCCUGACGUCAGCCUCUGGAUAGUGAGGGCUCUCUUCUGCUGCUUCAGGAGUCUGUGUCUGCCCCCAUCAGUCCAUCACCUAGCCUUGGCCAUCCAUCACUGAGUGACUCAGGCAUCCCCACUUUGCUACUCAGAUAUACUAUAAAAGGAAUCAAGGACAUAAGCCUGGGGAUUUUUCUGGAUUGAAUAUAACAAACAAACAAACUAACUAAAUAUCCAUACAUUCUUGUAUUAAUUCCCCCAGAGUCAAUAGGAUCUCUUCCCUUCCCAAAUCUCAAGCUCAGCUGAGUUCUUUUUAAAAACCAAACACACCAAAUCCUCCCAAUAAAUUGUCUUCCUAGUUUAAAAAGCCAAAAGGGAAGCUAGGUGUGAUGGCACUUCCCUUUAAUCCCAGUAUGCGGAAGGCAGAGGAUUAUAAAUUUGAGGCUACCUUGAGCUACAUAGCAAUUUGGAGGCCAACCUGGGCAACACAGUAAGACCUCAUUUCAGAAACAAAACAGAAACACAGUAGGUUGACAGAGCAAGAACGGGGACCAAAACCAGCUUCAGAAUCAAGGCCCGACACACCGCCAAGGUCCUUUUGUACGAAUGUGGGUCAAAGAACGAGCAGGCAGUGCAGACGGGAAAGCUGGGCUGUUAGAUGAUUACUGUCCACUCUGGACAAAAGUGGGGCAGCUGAGCAGACGCCCAGCUAUUCUUGGUAAAGAGACCAGACAGGACAGUCCUCUCAGGACUCUGGGAAAUGAGCAAUGCCCGCCUGACAUCCUGCAAUGGACACAGGGGGUGUCAUGGGACUAUUACCAGAAAGCCCCUCUGAGCUGUGGAAUGAAUUCUGGGGCAGCGAGGAGCAAUAUGAUGUCUGGGUACUUUAAUCUAGGAAGAGAUGUUCAAACCUCAGGGAAAGUAGAUAAAUUAUCUACUCUCCAAGCCGGCCUCACACCAGACCCAGCUGAAACUCCAGAUGAAGGGGUCCGGCAAUCUGCUGCUGUGGGCUCCGGCUGGCUCUAGACCUGCACAUUGGUACCUGGUGGGUGUGAGGAAAGCUCACGUUCAAGGGCAACGACAUGAGCCACCGCCCUGGAGAAAGACCUGAUUUGUGAAACAGUCCCUCAUUCCACAGGCUUCCCCCCAAGAAGCCAAGUCCUCUCAAUCAACCUGAUCAAUUUUCAUCUUUGUGUGAAGCCCAGGCCAUUCCAUAAUCCUUCCUAGGCCCAAUCCACAGCUGUCUAGGAGGAUGGGGGAAGAGAAGCCUUCUUCCUGGCCUGAACACAGAAGGGCCUUUUAGAAGACUAAAAUGGAAGAGGCAGCAUGAACUCCUGCCCAGGGAGCUAGAAAAGGGGUCUGUGGUCAUGUCUGUGAUUCCACCCAAUAGCUCCUCCAAUGGUGGGGAGCUGUGGUACCCAGCUCUCGACACAUCCUGACACUCAUGUCAGUAUUUGGCACGGGCCUAGACCUGGUUCUUCACAUAGUAGUCUUCACGUCGCAUGUGGCCCCAGCCCCAUGCUGCUGACACGUGUCUGCUUUGCUGACUUGGGACAAAUUGACACUAGGCUUACAAAGCUCACACACGGCCUUGGGGCUCAGGGCCCAGCGCAGGUGCGGAGGAGGAGGAGGAGGAGGAGGAGGAGGAGGAGGAGGAGGAGGAGGAGGUAGCAGUGUUUGGUUUCUGAAAGGGGAAGAAGCCAAGGAGCACAGAUACACCUGGAGUGUGGGCACAGGACAUGGACUGUGACCCUCACCCAUAGCAAGGCUUCUCAGAGCAUGCAUGAGGACCAGAGGCACCAGCCUUUCUGCUUCCCAGACAGCCCCUUUCCCUGUGCCUUAGAGGCUAGAUAUUUCGGGAGUGGUUGCGCGAGGGUGGGGUUCUGCGCCCCUCAGUCUGUGAAGUUUGAUGGUGGCCCAUUCUGUCCUUCCAUGUGCCUGCCUUGCCUAGGACCCUAAGAGAGAGUGCUGGGCCUCUGAGGGGGUCUCCUAGGGAACACAGACACUCAUGUCAGUAUUCGGCACGGGCCUAGACCUGGUUCUUCACAUAGUAGUCUUCACAUCGCAUUGGGCAAGUCGGCCUAGGGUCAUGCACUCCUGUGCUCGCUGAAACUGCUCCUGCACCAACUCUGUACACACCUACGCCAAACACACACCUGCAUGCACCGAGUUCACACACUCCUGCUCUGAGUACAAACCCACAUGCACCAAGUCCCCACAGUUCUGCACUGAGUACACAUCGCAUGCAUGACCUGGGCUAACUCUAGCUGGGUCUCCCAGGUCUGCCCUAAGCCACCUCACACAACCAGGAAGCCUCUCACGUGGCUCAUUCACCUGGAGAUCUGCUAGCCCCGCCACAUCCAACACCCUGAUGCUGGCUUUGAUCUUGAACACUAGCCUUCGCUGUCCCUGAUCUGACCUCUCUCCCCUGCUUCCAGACAACACCAGCUACCACCAAGCUCAUUUUAAAACACGUAUUUAUCUUUCAAGCUAAGCAUAUGGCACAGACCUGUAACCCCAGCUACUCAGAAGGAGGAGGCGGAGGACUGCAGGCCGAAAGCCUGCCUGGCUACACAGUGGGUUCAAGGCCCGCCCUGAGACACUGUCUCAAACUACAAAAGAGAGACAGGGCAGGGCCUGGAGCUCGGG
Peromyscus californicus insignis is the source of this 12182-nucleotide long non-coding RNA. RefSeq lists it as uncharacterized. NCBI's taxonomy places the organism in Eukaryota, Metazoa, Chordata, Mammalia, Rodentia, Cricetidae. The record is from RefSeq and is a predicted model, not a curated record. The transcript is spliced from 5 exons.